This 460-nucleotide ribosomal RNA is filed under the name uncultured bacterium. RNAcentral describes it as "partial 16S ribosomal RNA". It matches the Rfam family "Bacterial small subunit ribosomal RNA", at positions 338 to 795 of the family's 1533-position model. The record is from RNAcentral.
CCUACGGGUGGCAGCAGUGAGGAAUAUUGGUCAAUGGACGAGAGUCUGAACCAGCCAAGUAGCGUGAAGGAUGACUGCCCUAUGGGUUGUAAACUUCGUUUAUAUGGGAAUAAAAUGUUCCACGUGUGGGAUUUUGUAUGUACCAUAUGAAUAAGGAUCGGCUAACUCCGUGCCAGCAGCCGCGGUAAUACGGAGGAUCCGAGCGUUAUCCGGAUUUAUUGGGUUUAAAGGGAGCGUAGGUGGAUUGUUAAGUCAGUUGUGAAAGUUUGCGGCUCAACCGUAAAAUUGCAGUUGAAACUGGCAGUCUUGAGUACAGUAGAGGUGGGCGGAAGUCGUGGUGUAGCGGUGAAAUGCUUAGAUAUCACGAAGAACUCCGAUUGCGAAGGCAGUUCACUGGACUGCAACUGACACUGAGGCUCGAAAGUGUGGGUAUCAAACAGGAUUAGAUACCCCAGUAGUC